UAGGGAAUCUUCCACAAUGGGUGCAAACCUGAUGGAGCAAUGCCGCGUGAGUGAAGAAGGUCUUCGGAUCGUAAAGCUCUGUUGUUAGAGAAGAACACGUGCUAGGUAACUACUAGCACCUUGACGGUAUCUAACCAGAAAGUCACGGCUAACUACGUGCCAGCAGCCGCGGUAAUACGUAGGUGACAAGCGUUGUCCGGAUUUAUUGGGGCGUUAAAGGGAGCGCAGGCGGUCUGUUUAGUCUAAUGUGAAAGCCCACGGCUUAACCGUGGAACGGCAUUGGAAACUGACAGACUUGAAUGUAGAAGAGGAAAAUGGAAUUCCAAGUGUAGCGGUGGAAUGCGUAGAUAUUUGGAGGAACACCUGGCGGAAAGGAAUAUUUUCGGGCCUAACAUUGACCUGAGGCUCGAAAGCGUGGGGAGCGAACAGGAUUAGAUACCCUGGGAGUCCACGCCGUAAACGAUGAGUGCUAAGUGUUGGGGGCUUUCCAGCCCUCGGUGCUGGAGCUAACGUAUUAAGCACUCCGCCUGGGGAUUACGACCGCAAGGUU
This 550-nucleotide ribosomal RNA is filed under the name uncultured bacterium. Its description in RNAcentral is "bacterial SSU rRNA". It matches the Rfam family "Bacterial small subunit ribosomal RNA", at positions 355 to 895 of the family's 1533-position model. The record is from RNAcentral.